Molecule: ribosomal RNA, 543 nt
Filed under: uncultured bacterium
Lineage: Bacteria
Description: bacterial SSU rRNA
Rfam family: Bacterial small subunit ribosomal RNA
Source: RNAcentral
AAUAGAUACCCGGGUAGUCCACGCCGUAAACGAUGAGUGCUAAGUGUUAGGGGGUUUCCGCCCUUAGUGCUGCAGCUAACGCAUUAAGCACUCCGCCUGGGGAGUACGGUCGCAAGACUGAAACUCAAAGGAAUUGACGGGGGCCCGCACAAGCGGUGGAGCAUGUGGUUUAAUUCGAAGCAACGCGAAGAACCUUACCAGGUCUUGACAUCCCAUUGACCGCUAUGGAGACAUAGCUUUCCCUUCGGGGACAGUGGUGACAGGUGGUGCAUGGUUGUCGUCAGCUCGUGUCGUGAGAUGUUGGGUUAAGUCCCGCAACGAGCGCAACCCUUGUUCUUAGUUGCCAUCAUUUAGUUGGGCACUCUAAGGAGACUGCCGGUGACAAACCGGAGGAAGGUGGGGAUGACGUCAAAUCAUCAUGCCCCUUAUGACCUGGGCUACACACGUGCUACAAUGGACGGUACAAACGGUUGCCAACCCGCGAGGGGGAGCUAAUCCGAUAAAACCGUUCUCAGUUCGGAUUGUAGGCUGCAACUCGCCUAC